RNAcentral lists this ribosomal RNA (253 nucleotides) under uncultured bacterium. RNAcentral's name for it is "partial 16S ribosomal RNA". It matches the Rfam family "Bacterial small subunit ribosomal RNA", at positions 524 to 776 of the family's 1533-position model. The record is from RNAcentral.
UACAGGGGGGGCAAGCGUUGUUCGGAAUUACUGGGCGUAAAGGGCUCGUAGGCGGCCAACUAAGUCAGACGUGAAAUCCCUCGGCUUAACCGGGGAACUGCGUCUGAUACUGGAUGGCUAGAGGUUGGGAGAGGGAUGCGGAAUUCCAGGUGUAGCGGUGAAAUGCGUAGAUAUCUGGAGGAACACCGGUGGCGAAGGCGGCAUCCUGGACCAAUUCUGACGCUGAGGAGCGAAAGCCAGGGGAGCAAACGGG